This 253-nucleotide ribosomal RNA is filed under the name uncultured bacterium. RNAcentral describes it as "partial 16S ribosomal RNA". It matches the Rfam family "Bacterial small subunit ribosomal RNA", at positions 524 to 776 of the family's 1533-position model. The record is from RNAcentral.
UACGUAGGGGGCAAGCGUUGUCCGGAAUUAUUGGGCGUAAAGAGCUCGUAGGCGGUCUGUCGCGUCUGCUGUGAAAACUCAGGGCUUAACCCUGAGCUUGCAGUGGGUACGGGCAGACUAGAGUGCGGUAGGGGAGACUGGAAUUCCUGGUGUAGCGGUGAAAUGCGCAGAUAUCAGGAGGAACACCGGUGGCGAAGGCGGGUCUCUGGGCCGAUACUGACGCUGAGGAGCGAAAGCGUGGGGAGCGAACAGG